RNAcentral lists this ribosomal RNA (497 nucleotides) under uncultured bacterium. RNAcentral describes it as "partial 16S ribosomal RNA". It matches the Rfam family "Bacterial small subunit ribosomal RNA", at positions 28 to 507 of the family's 1533-position model. The record is from RNAcentral.
GAUGAACGCUGGCGGCGUGCCUAAUACAUGCAAGUCGAGCGAACAGACGAGGAGCUUGCUCCUCCGACGUUAGCGGCGGACGGGAGAGUAACACGUGGAUAACCUACCUAUAAGACUGGGAUAACUUCGGGAAACCGGAGCUAAUACCGGAUAAUAUAUUGAACCGCAUGGUGCAAUAGUGAAAGACGGUUUUGCUGUCACUUAUAGAUGGAUCCGCGCCGCAUUCGCUAGUUGGUAAGGUAACGGCUUACCAAGGCGACGAUGCGUAGCCGUCCUCAGAGGGUGGUUGCCCACACUGUCUCUGAGACUCAGUCCAGACUCCUACAGGAGGCCACGGUCGGGACUCCUCCGCAAUGGGCGAGUGCCUGACAGUGCAACGCCGCCUAAGUGCUGAAGGUCUUCGGCUCGUAGAACUCUGUUAUUAGGGAAGUACAAAUGUGUAAUUAACUAUGCACAUCUUGACGGUACCUGAUCAGAAAGCCACGGCUAACUCCGUG